GGGCUCUCUUGGGCAGCACACAUACUAAAAUUGGAAUGAUAUAGACAAGUUGACACAAGAUUGCACAAGGAUGGUAUACAAAUUUGUGAAAUAUUCCAUAUUUUU
This is a small nuclear RNA of Bison bison bison, 105 nucleotides long. The record is from Ensembl. Lineage: Eukaryota; Metazoa; Chordata; Mammalia; Artiodactyla; Bovidae.